Molecule: long non-coding RNA, 672 nt
Filed under: Homo sapiens (human)
Lineage: Eukaryota; Metazoa; Chordata; Mammalia; Primates; Hominidae
Description: novel transcript
Source: RNAcentral
AGGAGCACCUCACUGUCUCCCUCUGCCCACCCACCUGCACCUGACAGCUGUGGGCUGUGCUCUCAGGGAGGCACCGUCAGAUGCUACCAGACUACAGAGGAGAGCACCCUCAAUCCUGACUGAAGGUUUGGGAAAAGGCUGCUCAGAAGAGGUGAUACUUGAUAUGGGCCCUGGAGGAGGAGAAGCAGUUUGAGAAGACAGCAGUGAGAGAUGGCAUCCGGGCAGGCGAGAAAUGCAAAGGGAAGAGAGGUCAUCCAGGACAAAAGUACAGAAUGAAAAGAAAAAGCAACUAAGCACGAAAUCUUGGAGAAUGUCCUCAUUGAAGGGUCCUGAGCACCAAGGGUACAGUCAGAAAUGAUGAAUCCAGAAAUGAUGCCCUCCAGAACUUCUGGUGAGGAAGGCACUCAGGAAAAUGCAGCACCCUAUGGAGGCCCAGAAAGGAGGGCAUUCAGGAAGAACACAGUCUGAUGGUGUCAAGUGCAGCGGAGGCUAAGAGAUACUGUUAUAUGUGCUCAUGUAAAUUGUCUGGCAAUUAGCUGCAAGAGGAUUGUAGGAAGAGAUUCUACCUAUCCAUCUCUUUACACCAUGCCUUCUGAAGAGAAGAUUUUCGGAGAGAAUCCUUGGAUUUAGUCAGGAAUAUUAGAUCCCUAAAUAAAAAUGUCUAAAAUCCUU